CGUGCCAGCAGCCGCGGUAAUACGGAGGAUGCAAGCGUUAUCCGGAUUUAUUGGGUUUAAAGGGUACGUAGGCGGGAGCUUAAGUCAGUGGUGAAAUCCUGCAGCUUAACUGUAGAACUGUCAUUGAUACUGGGCUUCUUGAAUGUAGUUGAGGUAGGCGGAAUGUGUAAUGUAGCGGUGGAAUGCUUAGAUAUUACACAGAACACCGAUUGCGAAGGCAGCUUACUAAACUACGAUUGACGCUGAGGUACGAAAGCGUGGGGAGCGAACAGGAUUAGAUACCCUGGUAGUCCACGCUGUAAACGAUGAUCACUCGUUGUUGGCAAUACACCGUCAGCGACUGAGCGAAAGCAUUAAGUGAUCCACCUGGGGAGUACGACCGCAAGGUUGAAACUCAAAGGAAUUGACGGGGGCCCGCACAAGCGGAGGAACAUGUGGUUUAAUUCGAUGAUACGCGAGGAACCUUACCUGGGCUUAAAUGUAGAACGACGGACCGGGAAACUGGUCUUUCUUCGGACGGUCUGCAAGGUGCUGCAUGGCUGUCGUCAGCUCGUGCCGUGAGGUGUCGGGUUAAGUCCCAUAACGAGCGCAACCCUCAUCAUUAGUUGCCAGCGGGUAAUGCCGGGGACUCUAAUGAAACUGCCGGUGUAAACCGAGAGGAAGGUGGGGAUGACGUCAAGUCAGCACGGCCCUUAUGUCCAGGGCUACACACGUGUUACAAUGGUCGGUACAAAGGGCAGCUACCUGGCGACAGGAUGCUAAUCUCGAAAACCGAUCUCAGUUCGGAUCGAAGUGUGCAACUCGACUUCGUGAAGCUGGAU
RNAcentral lists this ribosomal RNA (821 nucleotides) under uncultured organism. Its description in RNAcentral is "bacterial SSU rRNA". It matches the Rfam family "Bacterial small subunit ribosomal RNA", at positions 504 to 1331 of the family's 1533-position model. The record is from RNAcentral.